Molecule: long non-coding RNA, 1223 nt
Organism: Glycine soja
Lineage: Eukaryota; Viridiplantae; Streptophyta; Magnoliopsida; Fabales; Fabaceae
Exons: 3
Source: RefSeq, a predicted model, not a curated record
UUGCACUUCUCUAUCUCCCAACCUAUAGUAGGAGUACCAUGAAAAAGCUUGAAGUUCCAUGGGAAGGAUUUGGAAUGCUUCAAGGUUCUUUGAAGACAUUGGAAGAAGAGACUUUGACAAAAGCUAAUAACAUGAGAAUCAAUGAAUACUUGUAAGGUCAAGAAGAAGGAGGUGGAACCAAGGCUCACCAAUAUGAGUCAUAUUGGGGAAGAAAACAUAUUUUGACCCUUUGGCAGAAAGCACCACGCCUAGGUUAAGGUCUCCACCAUGACUGGUCACCCUUGACAGAGGCCACAGUAGUCAUGACAGAUUAUGUUUGCAAAAUGAAAGCUUUUUCUAUGUGAGAUGUUUGGAAGAGCUUUUUUCGCUUAUAUUGUCUGUUAAUUUACUAGUUGUUUAAUUAUUCAUAUGGAAGUUCUAAGAGGCCCUAAGUAUAGUGACACCAUUUAACUAGAACAUGAUGAAGUGCUCAUGCUUUUUUCUUAAAAAAAAAUGAAACUCUCUGGAUUUUUGCAUCUAGUGAGUGAGUGAUUGUCAGGUGCAAUCCUUCUUUGCUGCAGUGAAGGCAUUGUCACGUAAAGAAAUGCACUAUGGGGCUUGUGCAACAUCAGAACAGGUCAAUGCAGCCGGUGAUCUUUGUGCUAUUUGUCAGGAGAAGAUGCAUACCCCAAUAUUACUAUGCUGUAAACAUAUUUUCUGUGAAGACUGUGUAUCAGAGUGUUAUUCUGAAGUCAUAUAUAUAAAUACUAGCCAGGAAGUUUUUUCUGCUUUGAAGCUUUACUUUUUCAAAGUAGCAACCACGAUCUAUAUACAUCAACACAUGUAAAAUGCUCUGGAGGCAAUCGUGGGGAUCCCUCUGAGAAAGAUGAAUGCAGCUGAAUACUGGUCAUGCGUUCAUAUAAUGUACUAGCAAAAGGUUGAGUGUAUAUGAAUGACCCUGUAAACUAGGAAGUCGAUUGAAAAUAUAAUUAAGCAUGACUCUUCAUUUGCAAGGAGUGAAGGUCUUCCUCCGAAUUGCAUAGCGAUUCUGUCAUAUAGUGCCAAUCAAACUGUUAAUUUCAAACAAAUUUUUUAUUUUUGAAUUUCUCUUUAUGUGGGUUUUGAUUCACACCUCAAGGAGUGUUGCCCACGGGCAGAUUAUGGUCAAAGAUCUCACACUUCGGUUCAUGUAUUGAAUCUGUGGAUACUAGUUUAAUAUUGUAAUACGUCUUUCAUUUAUCAUA